RNAcentral lists this unclassified non-coding RNA (221 nucleotides) under uncultured Actinomycetes bacterium. RNAcentral describes it as "uncultured actinobacterium contains 16S-23S intergenic spacer region". Lineage: Bacteria; Bacillati; Actinomycetota; Actinomycetes. The record is from RNAcentral.
UCCGGUUUGGCACCGGCAGUCUCCCAUGAGUCCCCGGCAUUACCCGCUGGCAACAUGGAACAGGGGUUGCGCUCGUUGCGCCACUUAAGGCAACACCUCACGGCACGAGCUGACGACAGCCAUGCAGCACCUGUGCAGGCUCCCGAAGGAGCACCGGCUUUCACCGGUUUCACCCUGCAUGUCAAGCCCUGGUAAGGUGGGGAUGACGUUACGGUCUUACU